CCCCUACGGGGCGCAGCAGUGGGGGAUAUUGCACAAUGGGGGGAACCCUGAUGCAGCGACGCCGCGUGGGCGAUGGAGUGCUUCGGCAUGUAAAGCCCUAUCAGCAGGGAAGAGAAUGACGGUACCUGACUAAGAAGCCCCGGCUAAAUACGUGCCAGCAGCCGCGGUAAUACAUAGGGAGCAAGCGUUAUCCGGAUUUAUUGGGUGUAAAGGGUGCGUAGACGGGAAAUUAAGUUAGUUGUGAAAUCCCUCGGCUUAACUGAGGAACUGCAACUAAAACUGAUUUUCUUGAGUACUGGAGAGGA
Molecule: ribosomal RNA, 305 nt
Filed under: uncultured bacterium
Lineage: Bacteria
Description: bacterial SSU rRNA
Rfam family: Bacterial small subunit ribosomal RNA
Source: RNAcentral